Molecule: ribosomal RNA, 467 nt
Filed under: uncultured bacterium
Lineage: Bacteria
Description: partial 16S ribosomal RNA
Rfam family: Bacterial small subunit ribosomal RNA
Source: RNAcentral
GACGAACGCUGGCGGCGUGCUUAACACAUGCAAGUCGAACGGAAAGGCCCUGCUUUUGUGGGGUGCUCGAGUGGCGAACGGGUGAGUAACACGUGAGUAACCUGCCCUUGACUUUGGGAUAACUUCAGGAAACUGGGGCUAAUACCGGAUAGGAGCUCCUGCUGCAUGGUGGGGGUUGGAAAGUUUCGGCGGUUGGGGAUGGACUCGCGGCUUAUCAGCUUGUUGGUGGGGUAGUGGCUUACCAAGGCUUUGACGGGUAGCCGGCCUGAGAGGGUGACCGGCCACAUGGGGACUGAGAGACGGCCCAGACUCCUACGGGAGGCAGGAGGGGGUAAUAUUGCACAAUGGGCGGAAGCCUGAUGCAGCAACGCCGCGUGUGGGAUGACGGCCUUCGGGUUGGAAACCGCUUUCGCCUGUGACGAAGCGUGAGUGACGGUAAUGGGUAAAGAAGCACCGGCUAACUACGU